This 1089-nucleotide ribosomal RNA is filed under the name Acinetobacter sp. AOLR44. Its description in RNAcentral is "bacterial SSU rRNA". It matches the Rfam family "Bacterial small subunit ribosomal RNA", at positions 363 to 1463 of the family's 1533-position model. Lineage: Bacteria; Pseudomonadati; Pseudomonadota; Gammaproteobacteria; Moraxellales; Moraxellaceae. The record is from RNAcentral.
AUUUGACAAUGGCGAAGCUGAUCCAGCCAUGCCGCGUGUGUGAGAGCUUUGGUGUAAGCACUUUAGCGAGAGAGCUUCUUGGUAUACCCAAAGUAAGUGGACGUACUCGCAGAUAAGCACGGCUAACUCUGUGCCAGCAGCCGCGGUAAUACAGAGGGUGCAAGCGUUAAUCGGAUUUACUGGGCGUAAAGCGUGCGUAGGCGGCUAAUUAAGUCAAAUGUGAAAUCCCCGAGCUUAACUUGGGAAUUGCAUUCGAUACUGGUUAGCUAGAGUAUGGGAGAGGAUGGUAGAAUUCCAGGUGUAGCGGUGAAAUGCGUAGAGAUCUGGAGGAAUACCGAUGGCGAAGGCAGCCAUCUGGCCUAAUACUGACGCUGAGGUACGAAAGCAUGGGGAGCAAACAGGAUUAGAUACCCUGGUAGUCCAUGCCGUAAACGAUGUCUACUAGCCGUUGGGGUCUUUGAGACCUUAGUGGCGCAGCUAACGCGAUAAGUAGACCGCCUGGGGAGUACGGUCGCAAGACUAAAACUCAAAUGAAUUGACGGGGGCCCGCACAAGCGGUGGAGCAUGUGGUUUAAUUCGAUGCAACGCGAAGAACCUUACCUGGCCUUGACAUACUAAGAACUUUCCAGAGAUGGAUUGGUGCCUUCGGGAACUUAGAUACAGGUGCUGCAUGGCUGUCGUCAGCUCGUGUCGUGAGAUGUUGGGUUAAGUCCCGCAACGAGCGCAACCCUUUUCCUUAUUUGCCAGCGAGUAAUGUCGGGAACUUUAAGGAUACUGCCAGUGACAAACUGGAGGAAGGCGGGGACGACGUCAAGUCAUCAUGGCCCUUACGGCCAGGGCUACACACGUGCUACAAUGGUCGGUACAAAGGGUUGCUACCUAGCGAUAGGAUGCUAAUCUCAAAAAGCCGAUCGUAGUCCGGAUUGGAGUCUGCAACUCGACUCCAUGAAGUCGGAAUCGCUAGUAAUCGCGGAUCAGAAUGCCGCGGUGAAUACGUUCCCGGGCCUUGUACACACCGCCCGUCACACCAUGGGAGUUUGUUGCACCAGAAGUAGCUAGCCUAACAGCAAUGAGGGCGGUACCAUCGGU